UACGAAGGGGGCUAGCGUUGCUCGGAAUCACUGGGCGUAAAGCGCACGUAGGCGGCGAUUUAAGUCAGAGGUGAAAGCCCGGGGCUCAACCCCGGGACUGCCUUUGAGACUGGAUUGCUAGAAUCUUGGAGAGGCGGGUGGAAUUCCGAGUGUAGAGGUGAAAUUCGUAGAUAUUCGGAAGAACACCAGUGGCGAAGGCGGCCCGCUGGACAAGUAUUGACGCUGAGGUGCGAAAGCGUGGGGAGCAAACAGG
This 253-nucleotide ribosomal RNA is filed under the name uncultured bacterium. RNAcentral describes it as "partial 16S ribosomal RNA". It matches the Rfam family "Bacterial small subunit ribosomal RNA", at positions 524 to 776 of the family's 1533-position model. The record is from RNAcentral.